RNA transcript from Brassica oleracea var. oleracea, 1060 nucleotides. RefSeq lists it as uncharacterized. The transcript has 7 exons. Lineage: Eukaryota; Viridiplantae; Streptophyta; Magnoliopsida; Brassicales; Brassicaceae. The record is from RefSeq and is a predicted model, not a curated record.
ACGUCUUUUAUGGGACGGGACCGCUGUUGAACAAGAUUGGGUGGAGGAGAGGUUUGGUCUUUCGACCUUCUCCGGUUCUCUCUUCUCUCUCGUCGGCAACGAGACUUGGUGAGACGGCAUGAUCACUCCCUCCGAUGUUCCGUCUCGAUGGAGAAAGAAGUCCCCGAAUGGUUUUCGUUGUCGCUUGCGUCUCUUCUCGUGUUCGAUGGGAAGACUAAAGGAGUCAAGUCCCGUGAUUCUCCUCCUCCUACUCUUUCCUCUUCUUCUUCAUCAAUCACUUACGAAGGUGUUAGGAGAAUCUGAAUCCACUAGUACUUGACGCCGUUUGUGGAACGGGAGAGAUACCAGAUUCCAGACAAGUGUAGGCUCCAUCCUGAUAACGAUCUGUACAGAGAUCAAGAACAGCAUAAAGUCCACGUGGAUGUAUACGAGUGGAAGUGUGGUUAUUGCAGGAAGAGUUUCAAUGAGGACAAGUUUCUUGACCAGCACUUCGCCACUAGACAUUUUAAUCUCUUGAAUACGACUGGUACAAAGUGUUUAGCGGAUCUGUGUGGUGCAUUGCAUUGCGAUUUUGUGUUGAGUUCCAAGAAGGCUAAGAGCAAGUGUAACCCUGCAGCUGCUGCCAAAAACCGGGUCAUAUCUGCGAGAGUCUUGCUAAUACAUGCUUCCCAGUGAGUCAAGGUCCUGCAGCUAGUCGUCUUCAUGAACACUUCUUACGACAAUUCUGUGAUGCUCAUACCUGUACUGGAAAAAAACAAACCGUUUCCUAGAGGAGGCAAGAAGAAAUCGGGUGUCUUCUACCUCGCUGUAUCAAUACUGACCUUGAUGCUACUCCCACUCUUUUAUCUGCUGGUCUUCUUACACCAAAGGUGCCCUAGAAUGUUCUCUGGGUUUCUCUGGUUUGUUAGUAAGAAAGUUAUUUCUUCUGAGUUUUAGACAUGAACUAUCGAAAUAAGAAGUGGUGAUUUUAUUUAACUCUGAAUCAGGUGAAUGAGCUGCUGAGACAUUCAUCCAUGCCAUUAGUUUUUUUUUCCUUCGCAAGUUCAACUUCUAAAGGUUU